This is a non-coding RNA of Malus domestica (apple), 422 nucleotides long. Lineage: Eukaryota; Viridiplantae; Streptophyta; Magnoliopsida; Rosales; Rosaceae. The record is from RefSeq and is a predicted model, not a curated record.
CUCUCACAACCUCAUCUCCUUCUCCCCGAGCUACAUCACUCACCCACACGGUGACAACGACGGCAUCACUAUCACCAUCACCAUCACCCACCACAAGUGUCGACCUUCUCCCUCCCUCAUUCUCUGGGAAGCACAAAGGCUACCCAGCCUCUUCUGGAGAGUCCGACGGCUUCGAGCCAUUUCCCGACCACAACUGGACUUGAAAAUGGACUUAGAAUCGAGGCGUACAAUUCCGACGUCAGGGCACUCCCUGUAUCGGCAUCGUCGAGUCCUCUCGGUGUAAGACCCAUCAUUUUGUUCAUUCAAUUUUAUAUUAUUUCCUUUCUAGAGUCUCGAAUUAGUUGUAUGCUCUGAACAUGUUCCACAAUUGCAUAAUCAUUGUAGCUAAACUUAUAACUUUUAUUUAUAUUCGUAUUUCUUCA